This is a long non-coding RNA of Hypanus sabinus (Atlantic stingray), 999 nucleotides long. RefSeq lists it as uncharacterized. The record is from RefSeq and is a predicted model, not a curated record. Lineage: Eukaryota; Metazoa; Chordata; Chondrichthyes; Myliobatiformes; Dasyatidae. The transcript is spliced from 3 exons.
UAAUGCUAAAAGCAUAGUUCUUACUCCAGUUUGCUGGGAGAGGAUUGGUAGAAAUCACUUGAAAUGUUGACAAUUCUUUUCCACUCAUGGAUGAUGCUUGACCAGUAGAGUUCUUCCAGUAGAUUGUUUUUGUUCUAGAUUAUAGCAUCUGCAGGCUCUUGCAUCUCACCUUUCUGGUGUCCAUGUUUGUCAAAAUGUAAGUAGAGAGAGAAAGAGCAAGAUGAAUCUCUUUCCACUCAGAUUACUUGUAACAGGCAGUCAGUCUUUCACUUCAAUGAUAAAACUGAAGAUGGAAGCUGCUAUUGGAUUGUGUGAUGAUGAUAAAUCCGUUUCUGAGAUCCAUCACAUUGUAUUGUGCACUUCUUGAAGUAAAUGAGUUUGAUAAGCAAUCUGACACUCAUCUGAAUUAUGUUAUAUAUGACAAUCUUAAUUUGUAAGAGUCACUUGAUGUGUGUGCAAUGCCCUGGUUCAUAUUUUUUUACUGUUAUGCUGUUCUGUAUUUCAUUUUGUUCUGUUCUAUGUAAGCUGCUUGUUGGGGCUAUUGAGGAAGAUAAGAGAUAGGAGAACUGCGUGCCGUCCAAUUAGGAUGGCCGGAUUAAGGGCAGGUUUCUCUGCCGUGGAACACUAAGGUUGGGCUUCGGGCUUUUGCUAAGAAGAUGAAGAGAGAAGAUGCCGGAGAGAAAAGGUCGUAGGAUUCGACCCGGAACGGGGCUGUGAUUCGAUGAAGCCCGGGGAUGUGUGAAGAAACAGGACCAGCCAAAGGAAACCCACUUGGUCACAGGGAGAUUGUGUAUAUUCCACACAGACACUACCAGAGAUGCUUCUGGACCUUCUGAGUGUGGAGAGAUAGAGCCAAAGAUAUGGAUUGAAAACAGAUCCUUUUACAUCUCAAGGCUAUACCAACCAACAACCUCACACUUAAACUAAUCCUAAGUUAAUCAAACUUCAAAGGCAACACGAGUGAAUCUGCAGAUGCUGGAAAUAAAUAAAAACACAAAA